Molecule: long non-coding RNA, 883 nt
Filed under: Marmota monax (woodchuck)
Lineage: Eukaryota; Metazoa; Chordata; Mammalia; Rodentia; Sciuridae
Source: RNAcentral
AUCUCUCAAAGAAAUAAUAGAACUGUGAAACCAUUCAAGUUUUGAAGAGAGGAGACAUAGAGUAAAACUCACAUUUCAAUGUAUUUCUAGUUUCAGUAGCAAACAGACUAAAGAGAAACUAGUCUGGGGGAAAGGUAACAAUUUGACAACUGAAAGUAUCCGUGCAAAAUCUGCUGCUACCUUGGACUAAAAUACUAGAAGUGGAGCUAGUGAAAAAGCAGUUCAUUCCAAACUUGAAGGUAAAAUCCAUAGAGCUGUCAAGGAAGUCUCAUUUUUUUUAAUCAAGCAAUUAGAUGCACAGAAUUCUGGUUUACUAAGACAGGAGUACUGCCAGGAUGAACAGGUUAUAGGGCUAGGAUUUGAGAAAUAUAUAAUUUGGAUUUGGACACCUUAGAUUUGAAGUUCACAUCAGACAUCCAACUAGACAUGAUAAAUUGGCCAUGGCAUAUUAGAGCAUAGAUUUCAAAGAAGAUGAUUCUAGCAACAGUGUAUAAAUGACAAAGUUAAGGCAUGAGAUGACUUUACCAAAGACUGAGUAAAUACAAAGAAGAGAGAAGGUCCAUAGACUGAGUCCUGGAGCACUUCUCUUUCCAAUGUGAAGAAGAUGAAGAGCAACAAUCUGAGAAACCGCAUCUAAUGAUGUAGAAGGAUCAUCAAAAGAGAGUGGUGCCCCACAUUUCUAGUGUAUUUCAAGGAUAAAGUCAUCAUCAUCUCUAUCAAAACCUGCUUCUAAGAAAGCAAAUAAAGACUUCAAAGUGAUCCCUGGAUUUUACAACAUGGAGCCUCCAGUGGCAUGAUAGCAGUUAUCCUUAUGAAAUGGCAAGGGUGAAACUGGAAUAAAGUGUGUUUAACAGAGAAUGGGAGAGGAAGUGGGAAAAGCUUA